Molecule: transfer RNA, 72 nt
Filed under: Candidatus Woesearchaeota archaeon CG10_big_fil_rev_8_21_14_0_10_34_12
Lineage: Archaea; Nanobdellati; Candidatus Woesearchaeota
Description: tRNA-Asp
Rfam family: tRNA
About the family: Transfer RNA (tRNA) molecules are approximately 80 nucleotides in length. Their secondary structure includes four short double-helical elements and three loops (D, anti-codon, and T loops). Further hydrogen bonds mediate the characteristic L-shaped molecular structure. tRNAs have two regions of fundamental functional importance: the anti-codon, which is responsible for specific mRNA codon recognition, and the 3' end, to which the tRNAs corresponding amino acid is attached (by aminoacyl-tRNA synthetases). tRNAs cope with the degeneracy of the genetic code in two manners: having more than one tRNA (with a specific anti-codon) for a particular amino acid; and 'wobble' base-pairing, i.e. permitting non-standard base-pairing at the 3rd anti-codon position.
Source: RNAcentral
GCCCGUGUAGUGCAAUGGCUAACACUCCACCCUGUCACGGUGGCAACCCGGGUUCGAAUCCCGGCACGGGCG